Molecule: ribosomal RNA, 1728 nt
Filed under: Salmonella enterica
Lineage: Bacteria; Pseudomonadati; Pseudomonadota; Gammaproteobacteria; Enterobacterales; Enterobacteriaceae
Also listed under: 1 other name
Description: partial 23S ribosomal RNA
Rfam family: Bacterial large subunit ribosomal RNA
Source: RNAcentral
GUUGGGUAGGGGAGCGUUCUGUAAGCCUGUGAAGGUGGCCUGUGAGGGUUGCUGGAGGUAUCAGAAGUGCGAAUGCUGACAUAAGUAACGAUAAAGCGGGUGAAAAGCCCGCUCGCCGGAAGACCAAGGGUUCCUGUCCAACGUUAAUCGGGGCAGGGUGAGUCGACCCCUAAGGCGAGGCCGAAAGGCGUAGUCGAUGGGAAACGGGUUAAUAUUCCCGUACUUGGUGUUACUGCGAAGGGGGGACGGAGAAGGCUAUGUUGGCCGGGCGACGGUUGUCCCGGUUUAAGCGUGUAGGUGUGUGUUCCAGGUAAAUCCGGUUCACUUUAACACUGAGGCGUGAUGACGAGGCACUACGGUGCUGAAGCAACAAAUGCCCUGCUUCCAGGAAAAGCCUCUAAGCAUCAGGUAACAUCAAAUCGUACCCCAAACCGACACAGGUGGUCAGGUAGAGAAUACCAAGGCGCUUGAGAGAACUCGGGUGAAGGAACUAGGCAAAAUGGUGCCGUAACUUCGGGAGAAGGCACGCUGACACGUAGGUGAAGUGAUUUACUCAUGGAGCUGAAGUCAGUCGAAGAUACCAGCUGGCUGCAACUGUUUAUUAAAAACACAGCACUGUGCAAACACGAAAGUGGACGUAUACGGUGUGACGCCUGCCCGGUGCCGGAAGGUUAAUUGAUGGGGUCAGCGCAAGCGAAGCUCCUGAUCGAAGCCCCGGUAAACGGCGGCCGUAACUAUAACGGUCCUAAGGUAGCGAAAUUCCUUGUCGGGUAAGUUCCGACCUGCACGAAUGGCGUAAUGAUGGCCAGGCUGUCUCCACCCGAGACUCAGUGAAAUUGAACUCGCUGUGAAGAUGCAGUGUACCCGCGGCAAGACGGAAAGACCCCGUGAACCUUUACUAUAGCUUGACACUGAACAUUGAGCCUUGAUGUGUAGGAUAGGUGGGAGGCUUUGAAGUGUGGACGCCAGUCUGCAUGGAGCCGGCCUUGAAAUACCACCCUUUAAUGUUUGAUGUUCUAACGUGGACCCGUGAUCCGGGUUGCGGACAGUGUCUGGUGGGUAGUUUGACUGGGGCGGUCUCCUCCUAAAGAGUAACGGAGGAGCACGAAGGUUGGCUAAUCCUGGUCGGACAUCAGGAGGUUAGUGCAAUGGCAUAAGCCAGCUUGACUGCGAGCGUGACGGCGCGAGCAGGUGCGAAAGCAGGUCAUAGUGAUCCGGUGGUUCUGAAUGGAAGGGCCAUCGCUCAACGGAUAAAAGGUACUCCGGGGAUAACAGGCUGAUACCGCCCAAGAGUUCAUAUCGACGGCGGUGUUUGGCACCUCGAUGUCGGCUCAUCACAUCCUGGGGCUGAAGUAGGUCCCAAGGGUAUGGCUGUUCGCCAUUUAAAGUGGUACGCGAGCUGGGUUUAGAACGUCGUGAGACAGUUCGGUCCCUAUCUGCCGUGGGCGCUGGAGAACUGAGGGGGGCUGCUCCUAGUACGAGAGGACCGGAGUGGACGCAUCACUGGUGUUCGGGUUGUCAUGCCAAUGGCACUGCCCGGUAGCUAAAUGCGGAAGAGAUAAGUGCUGAAAGCAUCUAAGCACGAAACUUGCCCCGAGAUGAGUUCUCCCUGAGACUUUAGGUCUCCUGAAGGAACGUUGAAGACGACGACGUUGAUAGGCCGGGUGUGUAAGCGCAGCGAUGCGUUGAGCUAACCGGUACUAAUGAACCGUGAGGCUUAACCUUACA